Pelodiscus sinensis (Chinese soft-shelled turtle) is the source of this 1075-nucleotide non-coding RNA. Lineage: Eukaryota; Metazoa; Chordata; Testudines; Trionychidae. The record is from RefSeq and is a predicted model, not a curated record.
GCCAAGCAGCACAGCCUGCAGCUGGAUGUGAUACAUUUCAAUUCAAGGAAGACAGCCCUUUUAUGGUCCAGCUCUGUGGGAGAAUUGUGUGGAAGGGCAGUACUGCAUCGGGGCCCGGCUCUGCCUCAGCUGGAAAUUAUUCCUGGGGUUUCAGGAAGCUGAUCACGGAGAGAGACCAGAUCUAGGUGGAGAACCAAAGCAUAAGAGAAGUCAACAUCCAAUCCAAGAGGGAGAAAGCUGACAGACCAGCAAAACACAUCCACAGGCACAGGAAGGGCUGGGUUGGCUGCUUGUAUGUCUUACAACUCCAGAGUCUAUGAAUGCCAGAAUGGUCAAAACAUCAGUCUCACAGUGGAGAAGAGGCUUUGAUGACUCAUUCAACUCAGGUGCAGCCAGUGCUCAGGAAGAAGUGAUUCAGCUCACUGAAAAAUGGGCUGCUAGGAGGAGACUGCAAAAUAAACAGUAAGAGCUGCUGAGGGAAAUUGAGGCGUCCCUUCUGAGAAAACAUAUUCAAGAGACGGUAACGAGGAGGCCAUUGGCAAUGGCACCUCCGUCCGCUCCAGCUCUACCUGCUCUGCCCUUGGAUGAGUGAAAAGGCAAGGAAAAAGAAGCUUUUGAUUGUUUUUGCAACCUAAAUGAUAUGUAAGGAAAGGUACGAUUGUGGGGUCCUUGAUUUCUCAGGAAUGCACAUUCACCAUCCUCCAGAGAGGAGAGAAAAAGGCAGGCGCACUUUGUGCCUUAAGCUGUGCUGUAUGUUAACAAAGUUUCUGAGCAGGAUUAAUGUUUCAGGCCCUGAAUGCCCCACUCCAUGGGUAGUUAAUAGGCAGACUGCAAGCCAAAUCUGGACUACUACACACUUUUGAACAGACCCCAAAAUAUUGUUUUUGUUAUUUUUUAUUAUUUUCUAUGGACCUUGCCUAUACCUUGACCAAGAAAUUUGGCCCUUGUGAAAAAAUAAUUGACUAUCCCUGCUCCAGCCUGUAUGGAUGUUCUCAAGUAUGGUAGAUUUUGUUACAUGUAUUUCUGACUUUGGAAAAAAUAAUAUACUUAGGGCACGUCUACACAGCAACGUUAU